AGACCACAGGCCCGUAUCUCUGACUGGUGUCUGAAAAACCAAACCAGAGGCAGACAGACACAAACAUUAAGUGUUUGCGCAAGCUAAAGAAGAAUCUAAACGAAGAGUUUCAUCUCCUGCACCUGUUACAAUUGUCUGCAAGAGGCCAUUUAUGAGACUCUAAAAGAGGCCAUCGAUAUGAAACAAGUAGCAUUAAAAGCAUAUUCAAAUACCUGACCGUCGGGAGACAUUGCAAGGGCUCAAGGAAAAACCUGGCUUCCAGUGUCGACACACUCCAACUGGUGUCCAUUUGCAGUGUUCCAGAAACGAAUGCAUCGAUCAGCAGUUCCACCACCUGAUGCAAGAAGACCACUCUGGUGGGGUGACCAAGCAAUGGCCUUAACAGCUGCUGUGUGCUCAGUUAGUCUCAACACAGGCUGCUGAGAAUGCUGAUUCCAUACCAAAAGCUAUUGAUACCCAACAAAAAAUCUCGUGUUAUUAAAUGAUCAGAUCAAAGAAAGAGGCCUCUUUGCAGGAUGGAUAUCUAUAUAUCUAUCUAUACCUGAUUGUCAUUUCCACCGGAGGCAAGCUCUCUGUCAUCGUUUGACCAUUUAAGUCCACAAACCUGCAGUAGUGCUUACAGGAAUUGAUAAAAGCUUCCAAAGUCCAGUUAUUCAAUCUGCAGGGAAAUUUUCUCAUUCUCACCUCAGAUUUAUGGCCGACGAGCUUGUUCACAAACUCACUAGAAACCCGGAGAUCAUGUUGAAGAAUGUUACGGUCUCUGCUUCCAGAAGCUAAAAUCCGAGAAUUCCACGACAAAACACCUGUUCUUGUUUGAUGUCCUCCCAUGGUUCUAACUUUCUUGCACUGACUUCCAUCCCAUAUCUAUUCAUUACAAUGGAACAAUAUGAAAAGAUAUGAUUUUUUUUUCCUGAAACACGAGCUCAACACCAAUCUUUAUGUUC
Cucurbita moschata (crookneck pumpkin) is the source of this 944-nucleotide long non-coding RNA. RefSeq lists it as uncharacterized. The transcript has 3 exons. Lineage: Eukaryota; Viridiplantae; Streptophyta; Magnoliopsida; Cucurbitales; Cucurbitaceae. The record is from RefSeq and is a predicted model, not a curated record.